Mesocricetus auratus (golden hamster) is the source of this 312-nucleotide long non-coding RNA. RefSeq lists it as uncharacterized. The record is from RefSeq and is a predicted model, not a curated record. The transcript is spliced from 3 exons. NCBI's taxonomy places the organism in Eukaryota, Metazoa, Chordata, Mammalia, Rodentia, Cricetidae.
CCGCCUCCUUCCCCUCGCCCUCACUCUUCCCCUCCCCCUCCUUCUUCCCUUCCUCCCGCGAUCCGACCGACCUGUGCGCGCCUAAGGCCCCGCAGCCUAGCGCCGAGUUCCGAGCGGCCAAUCCGUCGCUCGUGGCUCCACUCGCCGUUGUGUAAGAAACCCCAUAGCCCGCCAUGGAGCGUGCCUUUACCCCGCUGCGGCCCCUGCUACCCACCGAUGUGCUGUGACUAGCUGUUUCUGGCCCUUGCUGCUGUGACUUUCCUGCUUUGAGGGACUGUGACUUGGAAGGGUAAGAUAAAAGGAAAACCUUUC